CCUACGGGAGGCUGCAGUGAGGAAUAUUGGUCAAUGGACGGAAGUCUGAACCAGCCAUGCCGCGUGCAGGAUGAUGGCCCUAUGAGUUGUAAACUGCUUUUGUAUGGGACUAAUAUUUUCUACGUGUAGGGAUUUGAAUGUACCGUACGAAUAAGGUUCGGCUAAAUCCGUGCCAGCAGCCGCGGUAAUACGGAGGAUUCGAGCGUUUUCCGGAUUUAUUGGGUUUAAAGGGUGCGUAGGUGGACGGUUAAGUAAGUGGUCAAAGGUCGGGGCUAAACGCCGGACCUGCCGUUGAUACUGUUCGACUGGAGAGCGGAUGCAGUGGGCGGAAUGAGUGGUGUAGCGGUGAAAUGCUUAGAUAUUACUCAGAACACCGAUUGCGCAGGCAGCUUACUAAUCCGCAACUGACGCUGAUGCACGAAAGCGUGGGUAGCAAACAGGAUUAGAUACCCUUGUAGUC
Molecule: ribosomal RNA, 460 nt
Filed under: uncultured bacterium
Lineage: Bacteria
Description: partial 16S ribosomal RNA
Rfam family: Bacterial small subunit ribosomal RNA
Source: RNAcentral